Long non-coding RNA from Spinacia oleracea (spinach), 419 nucleotides. RefSeq lists it as uncharacterized. NCBI's taxonomy places the organism in Eukaryota, Viridiplantae, Streptophyta, Magnoliopsida, Caryophyllales, Amaranthaceae. The transcript has 2 exons. The record is from RefSeq and is a predicted model, not a curated record.
GUUCGGGAUCCAUUUGGUGGCUUGUUAAGGGAAGUAUCUGAUGAACUUACGCCUGUUUUGUUUUGAUACUUUCAGACUUUUGAAAAGAGUCUUGGAGCCCACUUACUGGAUGUGUGUCAAUCUAUUUCAACUGAUUGGUGCUAGUUCCAGCUACUUAACCAAAGGUUGAACUGAUGAGACGACAUGAAAUCAUGCUGUGGACAGACCAAAAUGAAAGGAGGAGUUAUCGUUUGGAAUUGGUGGUAAUCCUGAAUUAAGAUAUAAUUGAGUCAUGGACCACUGACAAGCUCUCUCCUUUCCUUUAUUAAAGUAAGAUCUCUAAGGCACAACAUUCACCAAACACAUCAGUAUUUGCAUUUGUCUUUAAUUUCAAUAUUUACGUAAGUGGCUACGUCAUUUUAAGGCAACCAUGUUCUUGA